UUUAUAGAAGUAUUCCAGGUCUGACGUGGCCUACGUAUGUGUGUAGCACGUCUCUAGUGAUUGAUCACGACCAGCAAAAGAGUAUAUGUGUGUUUGUAACGGGAUCAUCUGCCAAAGUGGACCUUGUGGUUCGCCUAGGUAUCCCGACGUGUUCCCAGUCUAAGAUAUAGCACGAGUUUUGUACCCCACACAAAUCCUGUCUUUGAGACAAUAAAGUCAAAGCAAGUAGAAACCGAAGCCAUCCAAUACAACCACUGGGUUUCCCGAACA
This is a long non-coding RNA of Daphnia magna, 270 nucleotides long. RefSeq lists it as uncharacterized. The transcript is spliced from 3 exons. The record is from RefSeq and is a predicted model, not a curated record. Lineage: Eukaryota; Metazoa; Arthropoda; Branchiopoda; Diplostraca; Daphniidae.